Molecule: non-coding RNA, 135 nt
Organism: Triticum aestivum (bread wheat)
Lineage: Eukaryota; Viridiplantae; Streptophyta; Magnoliopsida; Poales; Poaceae
Source: Rfam
GAGAUACUCCCUCCAUCCGGAAAUACUUGUCAUUAAAAUGAAUAAAAGAGGGUGUAUCUAGACGUAUUUUAGUUCGAGAUACAUCUUUUUUCAUCCAUCUCGAUGACAAGUAUUUUCGGACGGAGGGGGUACUUC